UACAGAGGUGGCAAGCGUUGUUCGGAAUUACUGGGCGUAAAGGGCGCGUAGGCGGCCCGUCAAGUCCCGUGUGAAAGCCCCCGGCUCAACCGGGGAACGGCGCGGGAAACUAGCAGGCUUGAGUUCGGGAGAGGGAAGCGGAAUUCCGGGUGUAGCGGUGAAAUGCGUAGAUAUCAGGAGGAACACCCAUGGCGAAGGCAGCUCGCUGGCCUGUAACUGACGCUGUAGUGCGAAAGCGUGGGUAGCAAACAGG
RNAcentral lists this ribosomal RNA (253 nucleotides) under uncultured bacterium. RNAcentral describes it as "partial 16S ribosomal RNA". It matches the Rfam family "Bacterial small subunit ribosomal RNA", at positions 524 to 776 of the family's 1533-position model. The record is from RNAcentral.